This 897-nucleotide ribosomal RNA is filed under the name uncultured Paenibacillaceae bacterium. RNAcentral describes it as "bacterial SSU rRNA". It matches the Rfam family "Bacterial small subunit ribosomal RNA", at positions 20 to 910 of the family's 1533-position model. The record is from RNAcentral. Lineage: Bacteria; Bacillati; Bacillota; Bacilli; Caryophanales; Paenibacillaceae.
UGGCUCAGGACGAACGCUGGCGGCGUGCCUAAUACAUGCAAGUCGAGCGGAUUUAUCCUUCGGGAUAAGUUAGCGGCGGACGGGUGAGUAACACGUAGGCAACCUGCCUAUAAGACUGGGAUAACUAUCGGAAACGAUAGCUAAGACCGGAUAACUGAUUUUCUCGCAUGAGAAAAUUAUGAAACACGGAGCAAUCUGUGGCUUAUAGAUGGGCCUGCGGCGCAUUAGCUAGUUGGUAGGGUAACGGCCUACCAAGGCGACGAUGCGUAGCCGACCUGAGAGGGUGAACGGCCACACUGGGACUGAGACACGGCCCAGACUCCUACGGGAGGCAGCAGUAGGGAAUCUUCCGCAAUGGACGCAAGUCUGACGGAGCAACGCCGCGUGAGUGAUGAAGGUUUUCGGAUCGUAAAGCUCUGUUGCCCUAGACGAACAGCAAGAGGAGUAACUGCCUUUUGUGUGACGGUAUAGGAGAAGAAAGCCCCGGCUAACUACGUGCCAGCAGCCGCGGUAAUACGUAGGGGGCAAGCGUUGUCCGGAAUUAUUGGGCGUAAAGCGCGCGCAGGCGGUCAAUUAAGUUGGGUGUUUAAGCCCGGGGCUCAACCCCGGUUCGCAUCCAAAACUGGUCGACUUGAGUGUAGGAGAGGAAAGUGGAAUUCCACGUGUAGCGGUGAAAUGCGUAGAGAUGUGGAGGAACACCAGUGGCGAAGGCGACUUUCUGGCCUAUAACUGACGCUGAGGCGCGAAAGCGUGGGGAGCAAACAGGAUUAGAUACCCUGGUAGUCCACGCCGUAAACGAUGCAUACUAGGUGUCGGGGAUUCGAUCCUCGGUGCCGAAGUUACACAGUAAGUAUGCCGCCUGGGGAGUGCGCUCGCAAGAGUGAAACUCAAAGGAAU